This 22-nucleotide microRNA is filed under the name Saccoglossus kowalevskii. RNAcentral's name for it is "sko-miR-4830b-5p". Lineage: Eukaryota; Metazoa; Hemichordata; Enteropneusta; Harrimaniidae. The record is from miRBase by way of RNAcentral.
CUCUUGAGUGCCAUAUGGAGGA